CCCACGUGCUGCGGAUUAAUGCACUUCCGGCGUGAAGAACGCUUUCUGGAGUGCGGGUGCGGAGGGUGAACUCAAAGGUGAUUUGCAGCAGAAGAGGAAUAUGCUAAUCAUCAAAAUCCACAGAUAAUCCUAAAGCACAAUUUUACCUUCUCUUCACAGUCUCUGAGCUACACUCAAAACCUCUUUCCACAACUGCCAAGGAGGCUUGAUUGAGUUUCAGCAUUAUUUCCAGACCUCUCCAAGUGAAGCCAUUAAUAAUCAGUGAAAUGGCCCAAAAAGAGCACUGAAAGGAACAUGAGUUUCAAAAAUCUGCUAACUGCAUCAUCAGUCUCUGAUUGAUUGAGAACUGAAUAUCAAGGCCAUGGUACCUAUGCCUGUUUCACACACCUACAACACUCUGGAGUAGGAAUGAACCUAUAACAAUGACAUCAAGAUAUUGCAUAACCCUAAGGAGACAGGGUGAAGCUGGCUCAGUCUGGAGCCGUGUUGGUUGUCAUCCAUCAAUCUGCAAAGUCAGGAACAUCCAUAGUCAGAGCCUCUGACAACCAGAUCCAGUUUAGACUUGUUUCCAAGGGACACAGGUACCUGGGACUUUCUGGACAGAAGAAGAGCAACAGAGACUGGAUGAUGGCUCGCACAGCAGACAAACCAAGAAGGAUAUGCCA
Molecule: long non-coding RNA, 665 nt
Organism: Mustela erminea (ermine)
Lineage: Eukaryota; Metazoa; Chordata; Mammalia; Carnivora; Mustelidae
Exons: 3
Source: RefSeq, a predicted model, not a curated record